Molecule: ribosomal RNA, 442 nt
Filed under: uncultured bacterium
Lineage: Bacteria
Description: partial 16S ribosomal RNA
Rfam family: Bacterial small subunit ribosomal RNA
Source: RNAcentral
ACUACGGGAGGCAGCAGUGGGGAAUAUUGGGCAAUGGGCGCAAGCCUGACCCAGCAACGCCGCGUGAAGGAAGAAGGCUCUCGGGUUGUAAACUUCUUUUAAGAGGGAAGAGCAGAAGACGGUACCUCUUGAAUAAGCCACGGCUAACUACGUGCCAACAGCCGCCGUAAUACGUAGGUGGCAAGCGGUGUCCGGAUUUCCUGGGUGUAAAGGGCUUGCAGCGGGGAAGACAAGUCAGAUGGGAAAUCUCGCGGCUCACACGUCGAACUGCGUUUGAAACUGUUGUGCUUGAGUACCGGUGAGGUAGGCGGAAUUAGUGGUGUAGCGGUGAAAUGCGUAGAUAUAAGGAAGAACACCAGUGGCGAAGGCGGAUGACUGGACGGCGACUGACGGUGAGGCGCGAAAGCGUGGGGAGCAAACAGGAUUAGAUACCCCUGUAGUC